CAUGCAAGUCGAGGGGCAGCGCGGGAUAGCAAUAUCCUGGCGGCGACCGGCGGAAGGGUGCGUAACGCGUGAGCGACAUGCCCGUUGCCCGGGGACAACCGGUGGAAACGCCGACUAAUCCCCGAUGGGAUAUUGUGCCGCAUGGCACGAUAUUGAAAGUUACGGCGGCGACGGAUUGGCUCGCGUCCGAUUAGCUUGUUGGCGGGGUAACGGCCCACCAAGGCUGCGAUCGGUAGGGGUUCUGAGAGGAAGGCCCCCCACAAUGGGACUGAGACACGGCCCAUACUCCUACGGGAGGCAGCAGUGAGGAAUAUUGGUCAAUGGGCGGAAGCCUGAACCAGCCAUGCCGCGUGCGGGAAGGAGGCCCUAUGGGCUGUGAACCGCUUUUGCCUGGGGGCAAUAAGGGCGUCGCGCACGCCCGAUGAGAGUACCAGGCGAAUAAGCAUCGGCUAACUCCGUGCCAGCAGCCGCGGUAAUACGGGGGAUGCGAGCGUUAUCCGGAUUCAUUGGGUUUAAAGGGUGCGUAGGCUGUGCGUCAAGUCGGGGGUGAAAUUCCGGUGCUCAACACCGGGGCUGCCCUUGAUACUGUCGCGCUGGAGUGCGGAUGCCGCCGGAGGAAUGAGUGGUGUAGCGGUGAAAUGCUUAGAUAUCACUCAGAACACCGAUUGCGAAGGCAUCUGGCGAAUCCGUAACUGACGCUGAGGCACGAAAGCGUGGGGAUAGAACAGGAUUAGAUACCCUGGUAUUCCACGCCGUAAACGAUGAUGGCUAACCGCCGGCGACACACUGUCGGUGGCCAAGCGAAAGCGAU
RNAcentral lists this ribosomal RNA (811 nucleotides) under uncultured bacterium. RNAcentral's name for it is "bacterial SSU rRNA". It matches the Rfam family "Bacterial small subunit ribosomal RNA", at positions 54 to 861 of the family's 1533-position model. The record is from RNAcentral.